CGGGGGCGUGGAGCCUGCAGACGGUGGCCCAGCCUGCUCUUCUGUCCUGGGCUACUUGCACUAGGAGGAGGGGCGCGCUGUGCUCUUGUUUUCA
Bos indicus x Bos taurus (hybrid cattle) is the source of this 94-nucleotide microRNA precursor. The record is from Ensembl. NCBI's taxonomy places the organism in Eukaryota, Metazoa, Chordata, Mammalia, Artiodactyla, Bovidae.